AGUGAACGCUGGCGGUAGGCCUAACACAUGCAAGUCGAACGGCAGCACAGUAAGAGCUUGCUCUUACGGGUGGCGAGUGGCGGACGGGUGAGGAAUACAUCGGAAUCUACUUUUUCGUGGGGGAUAACGUAGGGAAACUUACGCUAAUACCGCAUACGACCUACGGGUGAAAGCAGGGGAUCUUCGGACCUUGCGCGAUUGAAUGAGCCGAUGUCGGAUUAGCUAGUUGGCGGGGUAAAGGCCCACCAAGGCGACGAUCCGUAGCUGGUCUGAGAGGAUGAUCAGCCACACUGGAACUGAGCCACGGUCCAGACGCCUACGGGAGGCAGCAGUGGGGAAUAUUGGACAAUGGGCGCAAGCCUGAUCCAGCCAUACCGCGUGGGUGAAGAAGGCCUUCGGGUUGUAAAGCCCUUUUGUUGGGAAAGAAAAGCAGCAGGUUAAUACCCCGCUGUUCUGACGGUACCCAAAGAAUAAGCACCGGCUAACUUCGUG
This 492-nucleotide ribosomal RNA is filed under the name uncultured bacterium. RNAcentral's name for it is "partial 16S ribosomal RNA". It matches the Rfam family "Bacterial small subunit ribosomal RNA", at positions 29 to 507 of the family's 1533-position model. The record is from RNAcentral.